Molecule: long non-coding RNA, 1391 nt
Organism: Orcinus orca (killer whale)
Lineage: Eukaryota; Metazoa; Chordata; Mammalia; Artiodactyla; Delphinidae
Exons: 2
Source: RefSeq, a predicted model, not a curated record
GGGCUUAGUAUAGAGAAGUGUUAAAGCAUGGGUUAAGUCCAACAUUCAUUGAUUCAUUGAACAAAUAAUUAUUGAGUGUAUUCUGUGGGGCAGGCCCAGUGCUAAGCCCCGGGGAUUGGGUGACUCAGGCUCUGUCUUAAGGGAAUUUAAAACGUAGCCCGUGAUACAAGGUAGUCCAUCUACUUGGGAGCUUGUCAGAAGCGCAGAAGCUUAGGCCUCAGUCUGGACCUAUGGAAUCAGAAUCUGAUUAUUCAUAAAUCUCCCCGGGUGAUCAUGAGCACAUUGAAGGUUGGGGAACAGGGGACUGGAUAGAACUGGGUUUGCCUCCUGGCUCCACUACUUACCAGCCAUCCCGUACCUAACCCUGGAGCCGAAGUUAUGUCAUCUUUCAAAUGGGUAGUUGUGAGGACUAAACCCAAGAGAGCGUGCAGAGCCCUCUGUACGGCGCCUGGCACAUACAGGACUAAGCAAUGGUAAAUCUUAGGCUCGUCACUGCGAAAGCUCUUCGGAAAAAUAAAGCGUCGUACAAGUGUGAGGGGCUUCUGGGCUGAUGUCACAGUUAUUCUUCUUUCUCCUCCGUUGUCUUGGCUGAGACCUUCUUGACCCUCUCACCUGCUCUAGGUCGUAGAGCUGCGGAGGAGGCCGGGGUGAUGGGGAAGUGACAGAGGCCAAGGGGCAGCCACCGAUGGUGGGAGUGAGCCUCCCAGCCUCCUACUUGCUCAUUGUCAUCUGAGCCUCAUAACAUCCCGUUUACUGUCAGGGCAGAAUUGAUUGCCUUUGUUUUUAAAGCUGAUGUUGCAGCUACUCUGACGGUCCUAUUAUCACAUGCCUUGAUGCUUUGAUAAAGAUGCCAAAGUUCUCUUCUUGGCUGUGCCCAGUCAUGUGGGCUGAAGAUAAAGUGCACCAUGUGCUUUCCUUGCCCUUGGGGUCCCUGAGGCCUCUCUGUCUGUAAGAGCACGGAUGUGUCAGAGGGGAAGGACCCUUGCCCUGGGAUCUGGUAGAUCCCCUUCCGGAGAAGCCUGGGUCCAGCGUCACGCGACUCAGAUCACCUGGGAUGAUGGCCUCUUUCUGGAAUUUUCUGAUCUGGACUAAACUCUGUUGCUUUCGUUGCCAUCGCUAUUUUAUAUUUUGGAGGCAGCACGCUACGGUGGGAAAAACUCUGCACAGGAAGAUGGGAAUCAAGAAACCUGGGUUCUAUUCCUGGCUGCUCCAGUAGCUCAUUAUGUGGUCUUGGGCCUUGGUUUACCCAUCUCUUAAGUGAGAGAAUUUGAUGAUCGAAAUAUGUAGGGUUGCAUUCAGCUCUAAAAGUUCUAUAUCGUUUUUUAUUUUUCUUUCCUGUUUACGGGUACUUCGAUCCAGAUUAAAGCUAUAGAGAAGAUGACUUUGCUGGA